CACGCCNUAAACGAUGUCGAUUAGCUGUUGGGCAGCAUGACUGCUUAGUAGCGAAGCUAACGCGUGAAAUCGACCGCCUGGGGAGUACGGUCGCAAGAUUAGAACUCAAAGGAAUUGACGGGGACCCGCGCAAGCGGUGGAUGAUGUGGAUUAAUUCGAUGCAACGCGAAGAACCUUACCUGGUCUUGACAUGUACGGAACCCUCCAGAGACGGAGGUGUGCCUUCGGGAGCCGUAACACAGGUGCUGCAUGGCUGUCGUCAGCUCGUGUCGUGAGAUAUUGGGUUAAGUCCCGCAACGAGCGCAACCCUUGUCAUUAGUUGCCAUCAUUAAGUUGGGCACUCUAAUGAGACUGCCGGUGACAAGCCGGAGGAAGGUGGGGAUGACGUCAAGUCCUCAUGGCCCUUAUGACCAGGGCUUCACACGUCAUACAAUGGUCGGUACAGAGGGUAGCCAAGCCGCGAGGUGGAGCCAAUCUCACAAAACCGAUCGUAGUCCGGAUUGCACUCUGCAACUCGAGUGCAUGAAGUCGGAAUCGCUAGUAAUCGCAGGUCAGCAUACUGCGGUGAAUACGUUCCCGGGUCUUGUACACACCGCCCGUCACACCAUGGGAGUGGGGGAUACCAGAAGUAGGUAGGGUAACCGCAA
RNAcentral lists this ribosomal RNA (647 nucleotides) under uncultured bacterium. Its description in RNAcentral is "bacterial SSU rRNA". It matches the Rfam family "Bacterial small subunit ribosomal RNA", at positions 796 to 1444 of the family's 1533-position model. The record is from RNAcentral.